UUUGCUUUGGCAUCACAUACUAAAGUUAGAAUGAUGUGGAGAAGAUUAGCCUGACUCCUAUGCGAGAAUGACACACAAAUUUGUGAAAUAUUUCCUAUUUGG
Fukomys damarensis (Damara mole-rat) is the source of this 102-nucleotide small nuclear RNA. Lineage: Eukaryota; Metazoa; Chordata; Mammalia; Rodentia; Bathyergidae. The record is from Ensembl.